CCCUUAGAUGUUCUGGGCCGCACGCGCGCUACACUGAUUCAUGCAACAAGUUUUGUCCUUGGCUGAUAGGCCUGGGUAAUCUUUGAACGUGAAUCGUGAUAGGGAUAGAUGAUUGCAAUUAUUCAUCUUCAACGAGGAAUUCCUAGUAAACGCAAGUCAUCAGCUUGCAUUGAUUACGUCCCUGCCCUUUGUACACACCGCCCGUCGCACCUACCGAUUGAAUGGUCCGGUGAAAUCUUCGGAUCUGAGAGAUGUCUGAUUAAUUUCGGACGCCUUUUGGAAAAGUUGUUUAAACCUUACCAUUUAGAGGAAGGUGAAGUCGUAACA
This 327-nucleotide ribosomal RNA is filed under the name uncultured eukaryote. Its description in RNAcentral is "partial 18S ribosomal RNA". It matches the Rfam family "Eukaryotic small subunit ribosomal RNA", at positions 1470 to 1796 of the family's 1831-position model. The record is from RNAcentral.